AUCUUCCGCCAUAUCACCCUGAACACACCCAGUCUUGUCUGAUCUCAGAAGCUAAGCAGGGUUGGGCCUGGUUAGUACUUGGGUGGGAGAAA
RNAcentral lists this ribosomal RNA (92 nucleotides) under Microcebus murinus (gray mouse lemur). Lineage: Eukaryota; Metazoa; Chordata; Mammalia; Primates; Cheirogaleidae. The record is from RNAcentral.